CAGCACCUCAAGUGGUCAGGAUGAUUAUUGGGCCUAAAGCAUCCGUAGCCGGCGCUGUAAGUUUUCGGUUAAAUCUGUACGCUCAACGUACAGGCUGCCGGGAAUACUGCAAAGCUAGGGAGUGGGAGAGGUAGACGGUACUCGGUAGGAAGGGGUAAAAUCCUUUGAUCUAUUGAUGACCACCUGUGGCGAAGGCGGUCUACCAGAACACGUCCGACGGUGAGGGAUGAAAGCUGGGGGAGCAAACCGGAUUAGAUACCCGUGUAGUCC
Molecule: ribosomal RNA, 270 nt
Filed under: uncultured archaeon
Lineage: Archaea
Description: partial 16S ribosomal RNA
Rfam family: Archaeal small subunit ribosomal RNA
Source: RNAcentral